AAGUCAGUAACAAGGUCUCCGUUGGUGAACCAGCGGAGGGAUCAUUACGAGAGUUGCAAACUCCCUAAACCCACUGUAAAUAUACCUAUUUGGCUACUUCGGCAGGCCGGUCCCAGGGCGGGUCCCAGUGGCCUUUUUAGACGCCUGCCAAAGCCUUAUAAAACUCUUACUGUUCACUGUAUUCUGAGCAUAAAAACAAAUAGUUA
This 206-nucleotide unclassified non-coding RNA is filed under the name plant metagenome. Its description in RNAcentral is "partial contains small subunit ribosomal RNA and internal transcribed spacer 1". The record is from RNAcentral.